Non-coding RNA from Benincasa hispida (wax gourd), 238 nucleotides. The record is from RefSeq and is a predicted model, not a curated record. NCBI's taxonomy places the organism in Eukaryota, Viridiplantae, Streptophyta, Magnoliopsida, Cucurbitales, Cucurbitaceae.
AUUUGGAAUGAUCAUUCCGGUGUUCAUGGAAAUCCUCGUAUCUAAUUUCCUUCAUGAGGGGAAUAAUGAUCACAACUAAGGAUGGGACGAUGUCAAGAAAGGAGGAAAAUUUGAAACGAAGACAUCGGUCAAGAGCAAUUUAUGAUUGUGGUUGUUGUAUUUGUAAUUGUAUAAGACAUGACUUUAAUUGACUUCCAACACUCGAACUUUAUUUAAUAUAAGUUGUAAACUUAUUUAA